UGGAACACAUUCCAAUCAAGCGAAAUAGACAAAAGAGAGGGUGUUGCAUAAAGAUAUUAUUAGAUUAUAUUAUUGUAGUAAAUUGCAAUACAAUAACGGUGGCAUUGGUAAUAGAUAGUAUAUUAAGCCAAAUCCAAGUGACAUAACAUAAAAAAUUUUCUCAAUACAAUACAACAAUAGUUGAAUUACAUGAAUCGUAACUACAAAUUUAAAUUGAAAUACAACUUUCAGCCACCAAACUUGGCUUCUCAUACAGAAAAUUGCAACUCUGAUUGGUCUUGGCUAGAUGCAAAAAGGAUUAUUAAACUUGAUAGUGCUCAAGUACUUAAAAAUACGGCAAUAUAAAAAUUACAUUGCCAAAUUAUACAUCACUUUGGAAAUCCAUCAAACACUUCAAAUUCAAGCUCCUCCUCCACAAAAAACCAAAAGUUAUAAGUGCACAGUCUAUUAGUGAUGUUGAGAACUAGAUUAAUCAAUAGAAAGAACCAUCAUAAAAAAAAUGCACUACAAAAACCAAAAUAGGCAUACUUGGAGAAUAAUUACGGAAAUAUUUCCUUAGAUCAUCAAAAAAAUAAAGAAAUUUCAUUAAAACGCAUCAGAUGGAACAUACCAGUAAUGACAUCAAAGCUAGCACAUGAAGGCAUCCAUAUACUGAAUUUCAUAUGCCUCCAGUGAUGAUUAUCAAAAGCAAGGUUUAAAAAAUUGAGACUUGGGCUUGAAUUAACUAGCAGUUAAUUUACCUAGUAACUCAGAAGCAGUCCAAGUCAAAAUUUUGUGAUAUCGGCUUAAUCAGUACAAUGGCAAUAAAUAAUUAUAACUGCUUCAUUCGGAAAUGGGUAAAUAACCAAUUCUUUAGCAUAUGGACGGGAGCAUGUUAGGGGGUCAAUGCUCAUUCGUUUUGCCCCCUUCAACAUUAAAGCAGUCAAAAGGAUGCCACUAAUGAGUAGCAUAAUGCAUUCUAUUAGUAACUCGUGCAGGUGGUCUUUCCAGCUCUGUUGUGGCAUAUUUCAACAUAUGAGAAGACUUAAAAAUUAGGAUCCAAAAUGAGGGAUUAACAUGGGAGAAAAUAAGGCUGAAAUUAAUAACAAUUCUGUAGGAAAUCAAGAGGCAUGGCAUGGAAAAUUUU
Molecule: long non-coding RNA, 1126 nt
Filed under: Amborella trichopoda
Lineage: Eukaryota; Viridiplantae; Streptophyta; Magnoliopsida; Amborellales; Amborellaceae
Description: long non-coding RNA (ATRI_LNC001125)
Source: RNAcentral